GUCUGCAACCCGACUACAUGAAGCUGGAAUCGCUAGUAAUCGCGGAUCAGAAUGCCGCGGUGAAUACGUUCCCGGGUCUUGUACACACCGCCCGUCACACCAUGGGAGUCGGAAAUGCCCGAAGUCUGUGACCCAACCUUAGGGAGGGAGCAGCCGAAGGCAGGUCGGAUGACUGGGGUGAAGUCGUAACAAGGUACC
RNAcentral lists this ribosomal RNA (198 nucleotides) under uncultured bacterium. Its description in RNAcentral is "partial 16S ribosomal RNA". It matches the Rfam family "Bacterial small subunit ribosomal RNA", at positions 1303 to 1500 of the family's 1533-position model. The record is from RNAcentral.